UUGUCUACCACCCUGAAAGUGUCCAAUAUCAUCUGAUCUUAGAAACUAAACAGGGUCAGGCUUGGUUAGCACUGGGAUGGGAAACACAUUUAUCAACAAUUUAAAUGACAAU
This 112-nucleotide ribosomal RNA is filed under the name Carlito syrichta (Philippine tarsier). Lineage: Eukaryota; Metazoa; Chordata; Mammalia; Primates; Tarsiidae. The record is from RNAcentral.